This 253-nucleotide ribosomal RNA is filed under the name uncultured bacterium. RNAcentral's name for it is "partial 16S ribosomal RNA". It matches the Rfam family "Bacterial small subunit ribosomal RNA", at positions 524 to 776 of the family's 1533-position model. The record is from RNAcentral.
UACGGAGGAUCCGAGCGUUAUCCGGAUUUAUUGGGUUUAAAGGGUGCGUAGGCGGGCUGUUAAGUCAGCGGUGAAAGUUUGACGCUCAACGUUAAAAUUGCCGUUGAUACUGGUGGCCUUGAGUGCGGUUGAGGUAGGCGGAAUGUGGUGUGUAGCGGUGAAAUGCUUAGAUAUGCCACAGAACACCGAUUGCGAAGGCAGCUUACUAAAGCGCAACUGACGCUGAUGCACGAAAGCGUGGGGAUCGAACAGG